GUUAAAGGCAAAUCACCUACAGAUUUGGGAAUUCUUCCACUAAAAUGAUUAAAAGAAAGAUUCAAAGUCCCAGAUAAUGACUUCAAUUCACCAAUAUCAUGAGGAAUCGAACCAUUGAACAAAUUCGACGAUAGAUCAAGUUGUUCCAAAUUCGCCAACUCCGGGAACACCCCCACCGGAAUCUCACCGGAAAAUUUAUUCCGAGCUAAAAUAAGCCUCUGUAACUGCCUACAAUUACGUAGAUCCUUAGAGAAAGU
This 257-nucleotide unclassified non-coding RNA is filed under the name Hevea brasiliensis (rubber tree). The record is from RNAcentral. Lineage: Eukaryota; Viridiplantae; Streptophyta; Magnoliopsida; Malpighiales; Euphorbiaceae.